RNAcentral lists this ribosomal RNA (548 nucleotides) under uncultured bacterium. RNAcentral's name for it is "bacterial SSU rRNA". It matches the Rfam family "Bacterial small subunit ribosomal RNA", at positions 301 to 847 of the family's 1533-position model. The record is from RNAcentral.
AGGUCCCCCACACUGGUACUGAGACACGGACCAGACUCCUACGGGAGGCAGCAGUGAGGAAUAUUGGUCAAUGGGCGAGAGCCUGAACCAGCCAAGUCGCGUGAGGGAGUACUGCCCUAUGGGUUGUAAACCUCUUUUGUCGGGGAGCAAAAGCCGGACGUGUCCGGCUGUGAGAGUACCCGAAGAAAAAGCAUCGGCUAACUCCGUGCCAGCAGCCGCGGUAAUACGGAGGAUGCGAGCGUUAUCCGGAUUUAUUGGGUUUAAAGGGUGCGCAGGCGGAUUUUUAAGUCAGCGGUCAAAUCGUGGGGCUCAACCCCAUCCAGCCGUUGAAACUGGGGAUCUAGAGUGUGCGAGAGGUAUGCGGAAUGCGUGGUGUAGCGGUGAAAUGCAUAGAUAUCACGCAGAACCCCGAUUGCGAAGGCAGCAUACCGGUGCACAACUGACGCUCAGGCACGAAAGCGUGGGUAUCGAACAGGAUUAGAUACCCUGGUAGUCCACGCAGUAAACGAUGAAUGCUACCUGUUUGGCCAGAUUGAUGGCUGAGCGGG